Molecule: long non-coding RNA, 3700 nt
Filed under: Homo sapiens (human)
Lineage: Eukaryota; Metazoa; Chordata; Mammalia; Primates; Hominidae
Source: RNAcentral
CCUGGAUAGCUUUGCCAAGAGGGGCCAGGUCAGGUCUCUCACGGGAGGGAUCAGCAGCCCCUCACUCUUCAAUGAUCACAUUCAAAAUCUACGUGGGGGGUUGUGUUGAGAUCUCAAAGGGGAGAAGGAGGAAGCCUCCAUGCACUCCAGGGGGAACGGAGACCCUCAACCUUGUUCCAUCUCCCCUUCCUUCCUGCCCCAAACCCAAGCAGCUGCAACAUUCCACUCCACGCCCAGCAGGCACGGGGUCCGGCUAGGAUUCUGUUUCUUGGGAGAGACGGGCCACGGGACUGCGUCCUGGUUUUCAGGGGCCUGGGGCGCCUGACUCUACCACCCGCGCUGUGGAGGCCGAGGCAAGGCUCGCCUGCAGAUAUGGGCUUGUGUUUGUUCUGUUCCUGGAAGACAUGCGCUGCCACCGAGUCACUGGGCUUUUGACUCAGCUGUGUUUCCUCCUGCAGAUGAACCCAAACCCAGGCUUUGGAGUCAGCAGAGCCAGCUGGGGCAUCAGCCUCCCACUGGCGUCUGUGUGACUUUGGGCAAUUCUCUUGACCUCUCUGAGCUUCGGUUUUCGGUCUCUCUGAAAUGGGAGGAACCAACUAGACCAGCGUCUCAAUCCCUGGACUCAAGCCUUGGACAUCUCAAGUGGAAUGUCAGCGUGGUACAGGCAGUGGUUGCUGUCCAUUUCUUCUCUGCUGUGUCCCCAGUGCCCAGAACAGUACCUGGGACAUAGCUGGCAUUCAGUAAAUAUUUAUAAAAUGGAUGGAUGGAACUGGGCACGGUAGCUCGCAUCUGUAAUCCCAGCACUUCGGGAGGCCAAGGCAGGCGGAUCACUUGAGGUCCGGAGUUCGAGAGCAGCCUGAUGAACAUGGUGAAACCCCAUCUCUAAUGAAAAUACAAAAAUUAACCAGGUGUGGUGGUGCACGCCUGUAAUCCCAGCUACUCAGGAGGCUGAGGCAGGAGAAUCACUUGAACCCAGGAGGCAGAAUUUGCAGUGAGCCGAGAUUAUGCCAUUGCACUCCAGCCUGGGUGACAGAGCAAGACUCUGUCUCAAAACAAAAAAAGAGUGGAUGGAUGGAUGGAUGAACUCACCUGCUGGUUGUCUCUGCUGAGCUAACUUCACACAUAUGCCAGCCUCGUUUCUAGAACAUUCCAUAGGCUAUGAGGUACCUGUUGGAAAUAAAUGCAGAUGUAGGUGGUCACCCUCACAGCACAUUGGGGCCACAGCUUGGAAGUCCCCUGGCCACUGUGUCACCUCGGACCUAGGAUGCCUUUCCAUUGAGACAUUCAGAUGGCCUUAGUGCCACAGAGGGACGAGGUCCGUGGACAUUCUGGUCUCCAGCUUUCCAGGAAACGGGAGGCUCCUGGCAGCGCCCUGGCUGCCAAGACAAGGCUCCUCCAAGCCUGGCUGACUCAGCAUAUUCUCCAGGCUUCUGCUGAGACACCCCUUCCCGGUGAUGGCCCCUCUGGAGUCCCUGUCAUGGGAACUUGUGUGUGGGAUGCUUCCUUCUCUUUCACGGCAUUGUCUGUGCGGGUUCUGCCUGAGCACAUGAAGUGCGUUCACUGUGCCCAGCAUGGUGCCUGGUACACACAGGGCUCAACGCGCUCCAUUUGAAGGCUGUCUGGAGCCCCCUACACUGGGCCCAGGUGGAUCUUAUCAAUUCACUCAACAAAUAUUUGCUGAACUCCCAUCUGGGCUGGCUCUGCCUGUGAGGCUAGGAACGUCAAAAGGAACCCAGGCAGCCAACCCUCCAGGACCUUGGGGUGGUGUGAAGGCCCCAGAUUUCUGAAAGUGGAACAAAGCCAGACCCUGUGGCCGCCACCUUCUGGCCAACCUCAGAUGGAGCCUUCCAGACACAUCAACUCCCAGGGCUGUGGAAAGAAAAGAUGGAGUCUCUACCUGGCCGGUGCCAUGACACCUGCACACGUGGCAACAAAGAAAAGGGAAGAGAAAGACUCCAUGUUGACUCUACCUGGCUCCCAGGUAUCCCUUCUCUAUCGGCACGGCUGCCGACUUCGCCUGUGCAAGUUUCCAGCUUGCUUACCUAUGCUUGCAGCUUGAUUUUUCAGGCCGCUUUUUGUUAGAAAAGAAAUUAGUUGGGGGCUGCUUUAUUAUUAAAAUAAAAACCUUACUUUCUGUACUCUCACUAACUGCCUAAAUAAUUUCUUUUUAACUCCUAUAUCAGCGGGAGGAUUGCUUGAGCCCAGGGGUUGGAGACCACCCUCGGCAACACAGGGAGACUCCGUCUCUACAAAACAUUAAAAAAUUGCCAGGCGCAGUGGCUCAUGCCUGUAAUCCCAGCACUUUGGGAGGCCGAGGCGGGUGGAUCACGAGGUGACGAGAUGGAGAUCAUCCUGGCCAAUAUAGUGAAACUUCAUCUCUACUAAAAAUACAAAAAUUAGCCGGGCAUGGUGGUAGGCACCUGUAGUCCCACCUACUCGGGAGGCUGAGGCAGGAGAAUGGCGUGAACCCGGGAGGCAGAGCUUGCAGUGAGCCAAGAUCGUGCCACUGCACUCCAGCCUGGGCGACAGAGCCGAGACUCCGUCUCAAAAAAAAAUAAAAAAUAAAUAAAGUUAGCCAGGCAUGGUGGCGCAUACCUAUAGUCUAAGCUACUUGAGAGGCUGAGGUGGGAGGAUCACUUGAAACUGGGAGGUCGAGGCUGCAGUGAGCCAUGAUCACACCACUGCACUCCAGCCUGGGCAACAGAGUGAGACCCUGUUUCAAAAAACAAAAUGGGCCAGGCACAGUGGCUCACGCCUGUAAUAGCAGCACUUUGGGAGGCUGAGGUGGGUGGAUCACCUGAGGUCAGGAGUUCCAGACCAGCCUGGCCAACAUGGUGAAACCCCAUCUCUACUAAAAAUACAAAAAUUAUGGCAGGGUGCAGUGGCUCACACCUGUAAUCCCAGCACUUUGGGAGGCCGAGGCGGGCGGAUCACCUGAGGUCGGGAGUUCAAGACCAGCCUGACCAACAUGGAGAUACCCCGUCUCUACUAAAAAUACAAAAUUAGCGAGGUGUGGUGGCUCAUGCCUGUAAUCCCAGCUACUCCGGAGGGUAAGGCAGAAAAAUUGCUUGAACCCGGGAGGUGGAGGUUGCGGAGAGCCAAGAUCAUGCCAUUGCACUCCACCCUAGGCAACAAGAGUGAAACUCCGUCUCAAAAAAAAAAAAAAAAAAAAAAAAAUUAGCUAGGCAUGGUGGCCUGCCCCUGCAAUCCCAGCUGCUUGAGAAGCUGAGGCAGGAGAAUCGCUUGAAUCCAGAGGCGGAGGUUGUGGUGAGCCGAGAUUGCAUCAUGGCACUCCAGCCUGGGCAACAAGAGUGAAACUCCAUCUCAAAAACAAAAAGAAAACCCACAUAUACACCUUGAUUUAAUACUUCCCAAGAGCUAUUCGUUUGGCCCUAUGUCUGUGACAGCUGGAAAGAAUGCUUUAUAAAAGAAAGAAGAGGCUGGGCGUGGUGGCUCAUGCCUGUAAUCCCAGCACUUUGGGAGGCCAAGGCGGGUAGAUCACGAGGUCAGGAGUUCAAGACCAGCCUGGCCAAGAUAGUGAAACCUUGUCUCUACUAAAAAUACAAAAAUUAGCUGGGCGCAGUGGCGGGUGCCUGUAAUCUCAGCUACUCGGGAGGCUGAAGCAGGAGAAUCGCUUGAACCCAGGAGGCAGAGGUUGCAGUGAGCCAAGAUUGCACCACUGCACUCCAACUGCAGCGAC